GCAAGUCGAACGAACUCUGGUAUUGAUUGGUGCUUGCAUCAUGAUUUACAUUUGAGUGAGUGGCGAACUGGUGAGUAACACGUGGGAAACCUGCCCAGAAGCGGGGGAUAACACCUGGAAACAGAUGCUAAUACCGCAUAACAACUUGGACCGCAUGGUCCGAGUUUGAAAGAUGGCUUCGGCUAUCACUUUUGGAUGGUCCCGCGGCGUAUUAGCUAGAUGGUGGGGUAACGGCUCACCAUGGCAAUGAUACGUAGCCGACCUGAGAGGGUAAUCGGCCACAUUGGGACUGAGACACGGCCCAAACUCCUACGGGAGGCAGCAGUAGGGAAUCUUCCACAAUGGACGAAAGUCUGAUGGAGCAACGCCGCGUGAGUGAAGAAGGGUUUCGGCUCGUAAAACUCUGUUGUUAAAGAAGAACAUAUCUGAGAGUAACUGUUCAGGUAUUGACGGUAUUUAACCAGAAAGCCACGGCUAACUACGUGCCAGCAGCCGCGGUAAUACGUAGGUGGCAAGCGUUGUCCGGAUUUAUUGGGCGUAAAGCGAGCGCAGGCGGUUUUUUAAGUCUGAUGUGAAAGCCUUCGGCUCAACCGAAGAAGUGCAUCGGAAACUGGGAAACUUGAGUGCAGAAGAGGACAGUGGAACUCCUG
Molecule: ribosomal RNA, 650 nt
Filed under: Lactiplantibacillus plantarum
Lineage: Bacteria; Bacillati; Bacillota; Bacilli; Lactobacillales; Lactobacillaceae
Description: bacterial SSU rRNA
Rfam family: Bacterial small subunit ribosomal RNA
Source: RNAcentral